Molecule: ribosomal RNA, 403 nt
Filed under: Verrucomicrobiota bacterium
Lineage: Bacteria; Pseudomonadati; Verrucomicrobiota
Description: Verrucomicrobia bacterium partial 16S ribosomal RNA
Rfam family: Bacterial small subunit ribosomal RNA
Source: RNAcentral
UGGGGAAUAUUGCACAAUGGGGGAAACCCUGAUGCAGCGACGCCGCGUGAGCGAAGAAGGCUUUCGAGUCGUAAAGCUCUGUCCUAUGAGAAGAUAAUGACGGUAUCAUAGGAGGAAGCCCUGGCUAAAUACGUGCCAGCAGCCGCGGUAAUACGUAUGGGGCGAGCGUUGUCCGGAAUUAUUGGGCGUAAAGGGUACGUAGGCGGUUUUUUAAGUCAGGUGUCAAAGCGUGGAGCUUAACUCCAUUAAGCACUUGAAACUGAAAGACUUGAGUGAAGGAGAGGAAAGUGGAAUUCCUAGUGUAGCGGUGAUAUGCGUAGAUAUUAGGAGGAAUACCGGUGGCGAAGGCGACUUUCUGGACUUUUACUGACGCUCAGGUACGAAAGCGUGGGGAGCAAACAGG